AGUAGCCAGUUACUGCUGUGCAGCUGACAAGGGGUUCACUCCUGUUUCUGUAGCAGAGGUUAACCAACCUGCAAAUGUACUCUGGGCUGUUCUAUUGAGGAUUUAAAAGAAUUUUAAGUAUUUCUUUAAAAAGAGACAGGGACAGGAGCAGGUAGCAAUAUAGCUUUCCCUCUCUGAGGGGCUGCCUUCAAACCAGGAGGAUGUUUUUCCCAUGGGAAGACACAGCACAUGCCAUAACAGGAGGAUCCCACAUAACAAAAGUUUUCAAAAAUCGAGAAACAACAUGUUUGCAGAAAAGCUGCCACACCAUACCAGUAUAAAAGUCACAGCAAGAUCUUGCUGUUUCUUUUACUGUACCAGCUAUUUUACAUAGGAAGAUAGAAACAUCUUUACCCCAUGAGGGUGUGGAGCUGAACCUCUGUGACCAGCAGGAGCCCAGAGAAGUGCAUCAGCCUGGUGGGUUUGACACGCUUGGAAUUUGCCUUCAAGCAAAACCAGGUGCUGCACAGAGAACCUGGAAAUGAUCCAGUCCCCAAACUGCUUACAAUAUUGAGGAGAUUUUAACUUUCCACAUCACUGAAUGGCAGCUGAACACUCCAGAAGUGCAAAGCAUGGGAAUCAUCAGCAAU
This is a long non-coding RNA of Passer domesticus (house sparrow), 629 nucleotides long. RefSeq lists it as uncharacterized. The transcript has 3 exons. The record is from RefSeq and is a predicted model, not a curated record. Lineage: Eukaryota; Metazoa; Chordata; Aves; Passeriformes; Passeridae.